Molecule: ribosomal RNA, 371 nt
Filed under: uncultured Glomeromycotina
Lineage: Eukaryota; Fungi; Glomeromycota
Description: SSU rRNA
Rfam family: Eukaryotic small subunit ribosomal RNA
Source: RNAcentral
AGCAGCCGCGGUAAUUCCAGCUCCAAUAGCGUAUAUUAAAGUUGUUGCAGUUAAAAAGCUCGUAGUUGAAUUUCGGGGUCAGUAGGUUGGUCGUGCCACUGGUAUGUACUGGCCUCACUGAUUCCUCCUUCCUGAUGAACCGUAAUGCCAUUAAUUUGGUGUUGCGGGGAAUCUGGACUGUUACUUUGAAAAAAUUGAGUGUUUAAAGCAGGCUAACGCUUGAAUACAUUAGCAUGGAAUAAUGGAAUAGGACGUUCGAUCCUAUUUUGUUGGUUUCUAGGAUUGACGUAAUGAUUAAUAGGGAUAGUUGGGGGCAUUAGUAUUCAAUUGUCAGAGGUGAAAAUUCUUGGAUUUAUUGAAGACUAACUACU